AGAUUGAACGCUGGCGGCAUGCUUUACACAUGCAAGUCGAACGGCAGCACGGGGGCAACCCUGGUGGCGAGUGGCGAACGGGUGAGUAAUGCAUCGGAACGUAUCUUUAAGUGGGGGAUAACGCAUCGAAAGAUGCGCUAAUACCGCAUAAUCUCCGAGGAGAAAAGCGAGGGGAUCGCAAGACCUUGCGCUUUUGGAGCGGCCGAUGUCUGAUUAGCUUGUUGGUGAGGUAAGCUUACCAAGGCUUCGAUCAGUAGCGUGGUCUGAGAGACGACGAGCCACACUGGACUGAGACGACGCCCAGACUCCGUACGGGAGGACAACAGGU
This 328-nucleotide ribosomal RNA is filed under the name uncultured soil bacterium. RNAcentral's name for it is "bacterial SSU rRNA". It matches the Rfam family "Bacterial small subunit ribosomal RNA", at positions 26 to 355 of the family's 1533-position model. The record is from RNAcentral.